Molecule: ribosomal RNA, 67 nt
Filed under: Photobacterium leiognathi
Lineage: Bacteria; Pseudomonadati; Pseudomonadota; Gammaproteobacteria; Vibrionales; Vibrionaceae
Description: partial 23S ribosomal RNA
Source: RNAcentral
CUGUGAGGCAUUGAGCUAACCGAUACUAAUUGCCCGUGAGGCUUAAUCAUACAACACCCAAGGGGUU